This 550-nucleotide ribosomal RNA is filed under the name uncultured bacterium. RNAcentral describes it as "bacterial SSU rRNA". It matches the Rfam family "Bacterial small subunit ribosomal RNA", at positions 774 to 1335 of the family's 1533-position model. The record is from RNAcentral.
AGAUAAUAGAUACCCUGGUAGUCCACGCCCUAAACGAUGUCAACUGGCUUUACGGAGUAUCGACCCUCUGUGAGGCGAAAGCUAACGCGUUAAGUUGACCGCCUGGGUAGUACGACCGCAAGGUUAAAACUCAAAGGAAUAGACGGGGGCUUGCACAAGCGGUGGAGCGUGUGGCUUAAAUUCGUCGCUAAGCGAAGAACCUUACCAGGGCUAGAAAUCCUACUGCACGUCUAGCGAAAGCUAGAAAGCCUUCGAGGGUGUAGGACAGGUGAUGCAUGGCUGUCGUCAGUUCGUGGUUUGAAUCGUUCCCUUCAGUGGGGUAACGAACGCAACCCUCGUUGCCAGUUACAAGUGUCUGGCGAGACUGCCCCCUCACGGGGGAGGAAGGUGAGGAUGACGCCAAGUCAGCAUGUCCCUCUGAUGUCCUGGGCUGCACACGCGCUACAAUCGCCUUUACAAAGGGACGCAAUGCGGUAACGCGGAGCAAAUCCUUAAAAGAGGCGCCAGUUCGGAUUGGGGUCUGCAACCGACCCCAUGAAGCCGGAAUCGC